AUUGAACGCUGGCGGCAUGCCUUACACAUGCAAGUCGAACGGUAACAGGUCUUCGGAUGCUGACGAGUGGCGAACGGGUGAGUAAUACAUCGGAACGUGCCCGAUCGUGGGGGAUAACGCAGCGAAAGCUGUGCUAAUACCGCAUACGAUCUACGGAUGAAAGCGGGGGACUCGCAAGGGCCUCGCGCGGACGGAGCGGCCGAUGGCAGAUUAGGUAGUUGGUGGGAUAAAAGCUUACCAAGCCGACGAUCUGUAGCUGGUCUGAGAGGACGACCAGCCACACUGGGACUGAGACACGGCCCAGACUCCUACGGGAGGCAGCAGUGGGGAAUUUUGGACAAUGGGCGCAAGCCUGAUCCAGCCAUGCCGCGUGCAGGAUGAAGGCCUUCGGUUGUAAACUGCUUUGUACGGAACGAAAAGACCUUCUCUAAUAAAGGGGUAGAAUGACGGUACCGU
Molecule: ribosomal RNA, 456 nt
Filed under: uncultured bacterium
Lineage: Bacteria
Description: bacterial SSU rRNA
Rfam family: Bacterial small subunit ribosomal RNA
Source: RNAcentral